UGAGUAUUACAUCAGGUACUGAUGGUGGUUCUCAACUCAGUGCCUUGUGUGAUAUUCUUG
Molecule: microRNA precursor, 60 nt
Filed under: Lingula anatina
Lineage: Eukaryota; Metazoa; Brachiopoda; Lingulata; Lingulida; Lingulidae
Description: Lan-Mir-12-P3_pre stem-loop
Source: RNAcentral